Molecule: unclassified non-coding RNA, 477 nt
Filed under: Athalia rosae (coleseed sawfly)
Lineage: Eukaryota; Metazoa; Arthropoda; Insecta; Hymenoptera; Athaliidae
Description: misc RNA ENSAEAG00005012799.1
Source: RNAcentral
AUACUGUAUAGGUAGAACGAGAAAUACGAUUCGACGUACGGGGAAACGUGACGGUCUUCAAGAGUCUCGCGAAUAAAUUAAAUCCUACUUUGGAAUAGGGCAGCUUUUCUUAUCGCUCGCAAAAAUGAAUUCUAGCAUCCGGUAAAGUGUUUGAUUAAAUUUUCAGCUCUACGAAAUUCGGCGAGGUUCCUCCCGAUGUAUCCUCAUACUCCUCUACGUGCAACACGUCCGCUCUACGGCGCAAUUGUCAUAGGGAUGACCCGCUGCGGAACCUCCAAGUUCGAAAAUCUCUUCGACGAGACCAAUUGAGGAUGAUGCUGCAAUGCUGACAUCAGCCGGACUACAUGUGCAUUGACUGACUCUGAACUCUGAAGAUACGUACGUACGUACAGUCAGUCAAUGAUGCAGGGUACGACCAAAUUGCAUCUCAGUUGGUACAUGCGCCUGACGCAUGCUGCUACCUCUAAAGACCACGGC